GCAGAGUAGAUUUGUGUGCGUUAAGUGCUGUCCGAACGGGGAGUUGUCGGAUGGACGAAAAGAUUAUCUUGCGGUACACAUUUCGCAUCCCGCUGC
RNAcentral lists this non-coding RNA (96 nucleotides) under human gut metagenome. RNAcentral describes it as "THF riboswitch". It matches the Rfam family "THF (Tetrahydrofolate) riboswitch aptamer". Rfam says of the family: THF riboswitch presents a pseudoknot that joins P1-P2 and the loop of P3 and two THF binding. The record is from RNAcentral.